This is a long non-coding RNA of Bactrocera oleae (olive fruit fly), 759 nucleotides long. RefSeq lists it as uncharacterized. NCBI's taxonomy places the organism in Eukaryota, Metazoa, Arthropoda, Insecta, Diptera, Tephritidae. The record is from RefSeq and is a predicted model, not a curated record.
UCGCUACUUUCGACGAACGAACGCUUCCGAAUUCUCAACGAGUACAAUGAAUACAUUCCAUAUAAAUUAAUUACUCACCUGAAGACAUAAAUCAAAAUUUUCACAUUCUGCACAAUGUACACGAAUACCGGAGAUAUCGUCCUGGCAAUUUGUACAAUUAUAUUUUGUGAAAAGAUCCCCAAUACUUGUCAUUCUUGGCAAAUCACAAAAUAAUUUAUUUGGUACUCGAAACUGCUUUAAUGUUUAUUCACAGCUUAUGUCUCCAAAGAAUUUCCUAGCAAACUUCUAAAAAAAAUGUGUUCUCACCUUUAAUACAGAAAUAUUAAUGUUCUAUUUAAAGAGAAGUUGUUCUUUCAAAAGUCUAUACAAAGUAUGCGGUACAGUUAUAGUCGUAUAUAUAUGGUAUACUUAUAUAUAUAUAUAAUCGAAAUAGGUGCAUGCCAGUGAACUUCUACAAAAUUCAACAACAAACAACUUUCCUCGCUUUGCUUGACAAUUUAUACUUUAACCAGAGAACUUAGAAGAACAAAAAGGUGAAAAUUGAAUUUUCGAUGAUGCUCGAUUGGACGGCUAAUAGAGCUGAAAAAUUCCGAGCAGGAAAUUUACCAUUUUCUGUGGUAUUCGCUCCUAUUUAACAGAAAUGAGAAUUUAUAUCUACGUUCUCUGGCAGAAAUACGUAUCUACCAACAUAAAGAUAAAAAUGAAAUACUUUGAAUAAAAAAUACAAUUUGCUAAGUUCUCUGCAAAGGGAUGUCAGAA